GGGGAUGCGUGGUUUCGACGGAGAUCCGCACCUUGGGAACGCGAGUCGAGGUUGCUAUCAGGCCUCGUUAAACCGGUAGCAAAAAGAAGUAACUGGCAAUCGCCAGCCUGCUCUCGCCCUCGCUGCCUAAGGCAGUAAGGUGAGCGUGGAAGCGGCCCCCGCUUCGCGGGUCGUGGAAGCGUCAUAAAGCGAAGCUGCAGUGAUGACGAGCGACGCAUAGUCAUCACGUAAGCCCGAUUUAGGGACAUGUAUCUCGGUUGAGGGUCGAUCCGGCCUGUGGGAGCGCCUCAACUUAGACUAAACCGCAGGACACGCUCGUAGUGGUCUCAAGGAAGGCUUUUCGGACGAGGAGUUCGACUCUCCUCCAUCUCCACCA
Molecule: transfer-messenger RNA, 376 nt
Filed under: Chloroflexota (GNS bacteria)
Lineage: Bacteria; Bacillati
Also listed under: 1 other name
Description: Limnocylindrus sp003670455 Standard tmRNA
Rfam family: transfer-messenger RNA
About the family: Bacterial tmRNA, also known as 10Sa RNA or SsrA, is named for its dual tRNA and mRNA-like properties. Its role is to liberate the mRNA from a stalled ribosome. To accomplish this part of the tmRNA is used as a reading frame that ends in a translation stop signal.
Source: RNAcentral